GAUGAACGCUAGCGGCAGGCUUAAUACAUGCAAGUCGAGGGGCAGCGCAGUGUAGCAAUACAUGGGCGGCGACCGGCAAACGGGUGCGGAACACGUACAGAACCUUCCUUCGAGCGGGGAAUAGCCCAGAGAAAUUUGGAUUAAUACCCCAUAGUAUAUUGAAAGGCAUCCUUUUAAUAUUAAAGAUUUAUCACUUGAAGAUGGCUGUGCGGCUGAUAGGUAGUUGGCGGGGUAACGGCCCACCAAGCCAUCGAUCAGUAACUGGUGUGAGAGCACGACCAGUCACACGGGCACUGAGACACGGGCCCGACUCCUACGGGAGGCAGCAGUAAGGAAUAUUGGUCAAUGGACGCAAGUCUGAACCAGCCAUGCCGCGUGGAGGAUGAAGGUCCUCUGGAUUG
This 401-nucleotide ribosomal RNA is filed under the name uncultured bacterium. RNAcentral describes it as "bacterial SSU rRNA". It matches the Rfam family "Bacterial small subunit ribosomal RNA", at positions 28 to 425 of the family's 1533-position model. The record is from RNAcentral.